This 394-nucleotide ribosomal RNA is filed under the name Xynobius maculipes. Its description in RNAcentral is "partial 16S ribosomal RNA". The record is from RNAcentral. Lineage: Eukaryota; Metazoa; Arthropoda; Insecta; Hymenoptera; Braconidae.
AUCUUUUUUAUUAAUAAGAUCUUUUAAAAAAAAUUAUGCUGUUAUCCCUAAGGUAAUUAAUUUUAUUAAUUUAAAAUUUAAGAUUAUUACCCAAUAAUUAUUGUUUUAAGUAAGAAAAAUUUAAAAAAUUUUCUAAUUACCCCAAUUAAAUUUAAUUUUAAAAUUUAUGUAAAUUAAUAAAAAUUUUUAAUUAAAAAAUUAAAUAAAAUUCUAUAGGGUCUUGUCGUCUUUUAAAUUAAUUUAAGUUUUUUUACUUAAAUAAUAAUUUAAAUACUUUUAAUUGAGAUAGAUUAUAUUUCAUUUAAUCAUUCAUUCAAGUUUUUAAUUAAAAAACAAAUUAUUAUGCUACCUUUGUACAGUUAUAAAUUCUGCAGCCAUYUAAKAUAAURUCAUU